GUGAGUCAUCGAAUCUUUGAACGCACCUUGCGCUCCUUGGUAUUCCGAGGAGCAUGCCUGUUUGAGUGUCUUGAAGUCAUCAACCCACGCCGUUUUACUGCGGCCGGCGGUUGGACGUGGGGUGUGCUGCCGCGAGGCUGCUCCCCUAAAAUGCGUCGGUUGGGCCUGUGGGUCGAACUCGAAAGGGCGUUGUACCAUCCUCGCUCCCUCGAGAUGCCUCCCCUCCCGUGCCCCUCCACGACCUGCCUCUGAAGGGUGGCGGUCAAAAACAUUUUGAAAUCUGACCUCAAAUCAGGUAGG
This 300-nucleotide unclassified non-coding RNA is filed under the name uncultured Trechispora. RNAcentral describes it as "sequence contains 5.8S rRNA gene, ITS2". The stretch from base 1 to 71 matches the Rfam family "5.8S ribosomal RNA", at positions 84 to 154 of the family's 154-position model. Lineage: Eukaryota; Fungi; Basidiomycota; Agaricomycetes; Polyporales; Polyporaceae. The record is from RNAcentral.